This 438-nucleotide long non-coding RNA is filed under the name Carica papaya (papaya). RNAcentral's name for it is "long non-coding RNA (CPAP_LNC015917)". Lineage: Eukaryota; Viridiplantae; Streptophyta; Magnoliopsida; Brassicales; Caricaceae. The record is from RNAcentral.
UUAUGAAACUGAAAAUUAAAUGUAAAUAUAAAAUUAAUUGAUUAAGUGAAUGAAUGAAUGGUAGCCUUACUGGAUAUCCUAAGAGAUAGUGGAUGGACCGACUAUAUAGGGAACCCUAUCGUGAACGUCGCCUCAUGCUAGACGGGGUAUCGAGGAUUGGUAUUUUGGCGCUCAUAUCGGACAGAGUAUGGGAAUGGCCCAUUUCACCUUCAUACCGGACGUGGUAUUGAGGGAUGGUAUUUUUGACGCUCAUACCGAACAGGGUAUGGAUACGACAAAUUAGUUGACAAUGUUGAAUAAUGGUUCACGCUUAGUAGGGACAUCCCUAUGGACCCCCAUGGAUACCAGUAGGCAGAUAAAGAAGAAAAGUUAUUCUUCUUACUUGAAUAUGAGAUUAUGAUGUUGUUGAGUUAUUGUCUCUAUGGGUCGAUUUUAGAA